RNAcentral lists this ribosomal RNA (504 nucleotides) under uncultured Glomeromycotina. RNAcentral's name for it is "SSU rRNA". It matches the Rfam family "Eukaryotic small subunit ribosomal RNA", at positions 569 to 1077 of the family's 1831-position model. Lineage: Eukaryota; Fungi; Glomeromycota. The record is from RNAcentral.
AGCAGCCGCGGUAAUUCCAGCUCCAAUAGCGUAUAUUAAAGUUGUUGCAGUUAAAAAGCUCGUAGUUGAAUUUCAGGCCUGGCUGGACGGUCCGCCCUUCGGGUGAGUACUGUCUGUGGUAGGGUCCUACCUUCUGGCGAAGCGUCAUGGCUUUAACCGGCCGUGGCGGGGAACCAGGACUUUUACUGUGAAAAAAUUAGAGUGUUCAAAGCAGGCAAUCGCUUGGAUACAUUAGCAUGGAAUAAUGGAAUAGGACAAUGGUUCUAUUUGUUGGUUUCUAGGACCGUUGUAAUGAUUAAUAGGGAUAGUUGGGGGCAUUAGUAUUCAAUUGUCAGAGGUGAAAUUCUUGGAUUUAUUGAAGACUAACUACUGCGAAAGCAUUUGCCAAGGAUGUUUUCAUUAAUCAAGAACGAAAGUUAGGGGAUCGAAGACGAUCAGAUACCGUCGUAGUCUUAACCAUAAACUAUGCCGACUAGGAAUCGGGCGAUGUUGAAAAAAUGACGC